This 350-nucleotide transfer-messenger RNA is filed under the name Patescibacteria group. RNAcentral's name for it is "JAHIMV01 sp018896315 Standard tmRNA". It matches the Rfam family "transfer-messenger RNA". Rfam says of the family: Bacterial tmRNA, also known as 10Sa RNA or SsrA, is named for its dual tRNA and mRNA-like properties. Its role is to liberate the mRNA from a stalled ribosome. RNAcentral also lists the same sequence under 1 other name. The record is from RNAcentral.
GGGGGUGAAAGGAAUCGAUGGGAAGUUAGUGUUAAAAACAGCUUUUUGUCCUGAGAAAGACACAAAAACUCUCAAAAAAACAUAAUUGCCAACGAAAAGUUAGCAUUUGCUGUAGCUUAAACAAGCUAAAGCCGUUAAGACUAAAGACUCCUCCUAUUUAGUCAUUGACGUCAAUCUAGAAGGAUCGACAUUUUGGUUGCCUGGAUCAAAAUGUUUAAAAAAUCAGGAUAGAGUUUAAGAAUUUUGUCUUGUUUUAAUUCUAAAACUCGAAUAGAAUAAACAAAACUAUAAAAGUAGACAUUUUUAACAGCGCUUUCUAGACGGGAGUUCGAUUCUCCCCACCUCCACCA